AUGACUCUCGGCAACGGAUAUCUUGGCUCUUGCAUCGAUGAAGAACGCAGCGAAAUGCGAUAAGUGGUGUGAAUUGCAGAAUCCCGUGAACCAUCGAGUCUUUGAACGCAAGUUGCGCCCGAGGCCAUCAGGCUAAGGGCACGCCUGCUUGGGCGUCGCGC
RNAcentral lists this ribosomal RNA (161 nucleotides) under Cypripedium dickinsonianum. Its description in RNAcentral is "5.8S ribosomal RNA". It matches the Rfam family "5.8S ribosomal RNA". From Rfam's summary of the family: 5.8S ribosomal RNA (5.8S rRNA) is a component of the large subunit of the eukaryotic ribosome. It is transcribed by RNA polymerase I as part of the 45S precursor that also contains 18S and 28S rRNA. Functionally, it is thought that 5.8S rRNA may be involved in ribosome translocation. The record is from RNAcentral. Lineage: Eukaryota; Viridiplantae; Streptophyta; Magnoliopsida; Asparagales; Orchidaceae.